This is a long non-coding RNA of Enhydra lutris kenyoni (northern sea otter), 2012 nucleotides long. RefSeq lists it as uncharacterized. The transcript is spliced from 7 exons. The record is from RefSeq and is a predicted model, not a curated record. Lineage: Eukaryota; Metazoa; Chordata; Mammalia; Carnivora; Mustelidae.
ACAAUGCAUGCUUUUACUUUGGUGUCUGGUAUUACUGUAUUCUCGUGCUGUCACAGGGAAGUGUUUUAUUAUAAUCGGUGAAAAGGGAGGGGGAUAGGCCUUCUUGGGCCAUGCAUCUAGUAAAUGAAUAGCUUUUGGCUGUAGGUCAAUGAAUAGCAUGAGUAUACGCAGUUACGAAGUCACCAUUAACAAAUAAAGCUGGUAGAGUUUCAAUGUACCCAUCGGAAUUUUUGAAAGCCUAUUUUCCAGGCAGUUCAAACAGAGGUGAGGCAGCUCAGGUUGGCGGGGCUGCCGGGAACACCCAGUUCUGAGUUUGCCCCUGACUCAGUGCAUGACCUUCGGCAAACCACUCAACUUCUCACUAUCUCGGCUUCCUUGGCAAUAAAAUGGGGAUAACAGACCUUAGCCACCUUACAAGAGUGUGACGAAGAGUAAUAAAUGUCUGCAAAACGCUUUCAAGAUAAGUGCUCCUGAAAACUGGGGGUUGGGGGGGGCAGGAGAAGUUCUCUUCCAAGAGUUUAGAGGAAAAAUGAGAUUUUCAAAAUUAAAGUAGGACACUUCAGCUUCUGAGAGCCAAGAGCUUUGUAAAAACAGAAAGGAUUGUGGAUGAUACAGAACCUACAGAUUGCUAAAGACUUUCAUGAUCAGUACUAGAGCGGGACCAUAGAGGCAACGUCUACUGGGACAGAAGGGCUGCCUCAUAGCUAACCAGCUGUCAUUGGCCCUUAGAGGCUGAAAGAGAUCCUGACGUUUCUAAAGAAAGUUGAAGAAAACCCUGGGAUACACCUUACUGUACCUGGAGCAGACCACUGGGGAUAGAAGACAUGCUCCGCGCUGCUCUGGACAUUUGGAGUGGACACUAGCUCAAAACCACAGAGCCCUGAGUUUGACCCUAGCACUCUGUGGCUACUGAUGACUCAUCCCGAUAAUUAUCAGAUUGAAUCUUCUCUACUGGUUUGGUAAUAACAAUGAGUGGAAAAAGAACUUCAAUCAGAUGUUCAUGCCUAAUAAUCGGUCUCCUGAUUGCCUUUGUAGACUCAUGGUUCUCUUCUUUUUCCUGGUCAUGGAAAUCUUCACAUCAGUAUAUAAAGAGUUGCCUCAUCCUUUUUGACAGCUGCAUAAUGUUCCAUUAUAGAGCUGUAGCCCCAAUUCACAGAUUUCCUAUUGAUCUUAUGGGACAAAUGCUGCUGGGAACUAGAGCUUACAGCUCACGUGGAGGAGAUGGCUGAUGCCUCCCGGGCUCCCUCCCCUCCUGGCACCCACCUGCCAGUUCCCUUCGACAAUAGCCUGGGAAAGCAGUAUGUAUCCAGGAAAUCCCAGCUCUACCGAGAAGAGAAGUGAGAACAUUUCCGAGGGAAAGGUCAGAGGGAGGCUUCGGUAGGCAUGAAGCGUACUGGAAUUUGGCCUACAGUGGACAAAAACACAGAUCUUCGUCGCUACAAAAAAUAUCCCUUGAUGUUGCCCCAUCCAUUCAAGCCAAACCUCAGAGAGCCCCAGGAAGAAGAACUCAUAGAUGUUUACAGUGCUGGUCAGCAUUGUUUAAAAGGUAGGAUGGCACAGGUCAGAAAGUCCUAUGAUGGCGCUCUGAACUAAUACUCAACCUGUAAAAGCAAAUGUCAUAUUAUAAUUCCUUAGUUGCAGGCUUAGGAAAAAGAACAACCAAAAUUUUUGCCAGUUGGGAGAUGAAAAUGACAUGGAAAGGAGGCCACUGUAUCUAGCUUCUCCAGAGUGGACAAUCCAAGAGAGAGCCAGACAGAAGCCACAGCAUCUUUUACAGCUCAGCGCUGGACAUCAUGGCCAUACCUUUCUGCAGUGUCUGCUGGUUACACAGGUCAUCCCCAUUCUGUGCCACAGCAGAGCACAUACAGGUGGAAACAUUGGGAAGUGGGAAUUUGGGGGGCUAUCUUGGAGGGUGGCCACUGCAAUGAUAGAGACAUUUCUGUGCAUACAUGAUGGAGAAGAGAUUCAUGUGUUGGCUGAGUGAUUGAUUUUUUUAAAAAGAUUUUAUUUAU